Molecule: ribosomal RNA, 466 nt
Filed under: uncultured bacterium
Lineage: Bacteria
Description: partial 16S ribosomal RNA
Rfam family: Bacterial small subunit ribosomal RNA
Source: RNAcentral
GACGAACGCUGGCGGCGUGCUUAACACAUGCAAGUCGAACGGAAAGGCCCUGCUUGCAGGGUACUCGAGUGGCGAACGGGUGAGUAACACGUGGGUGAUCUGCCCUGCACUUCGGGAUAAGCCUGGGAAACUGGGUCUAAUACCGGAUAGGAGCCAUUUUUAGUGUGAUGGUUGGAAAGUUUUUUUCGGUGUAGGAUGAGCUCGCGGCCUAUCAGCUUGUUGGUGGGGUAAUGGCCUACCAAGGCGGCGACGGGUAGCCGGCCUGAGAGGGUGGACGGCCACAUUGGGACUGAGAUACGGCCCAGACUCCUACGGGAGGCAGCAGUGGGGAAUAUUGCACAAUGGGCGCAAGCCUGAUGCAGCGACGCCGCGUGGGGGAUGACGGCCUUCGGGUUGCAAACUCCUUUCGCUAGGGACGAAGCUUUUUGUGACGGUACCUAGAUAAGAAGCACCGGCUAACUACGUG